UGAUUGAUUGAUAUAACGCGAAUCAGUUCGUUAAGUACCACAAAUAUAGUUGCUACGAAUACACGCUGUUAUUAGUGAACGUAUGAAAUGAAUUUACGAAGCUAAAAAUGAUAAAAAAAUGAAUCGUAAUCUGGUAAUUAGUAGUAGUCUGGUACAGUACAGUAAAUGCCCGUUGUACAACAGCUUCAUUCAUUGUAUGUCUCUUCGAAUGAACGAACGAACGUCGUCUGUUGUGAUCUGCGAACCCACCCCGGUUACCAUGGAAUCAUCAUUCCGCGAGGUGGGGCGCAUGUGGCAGCUACACUCGGGCAACUUCGUAGUAUCAAGGAGUUUUCUUCGCAGUACGCGUUCAUUCGUUGAUGGGGUUGUUGUGAACGAGAAAAAAAGGAAAUAUGACUACAAAACUUCUCAAUUUAACGAUAUACAACAAGCACAAUAAAGAAAUCUCAUAUCACUUUCACAUCCUGUUAUAAUAGCUGUAAAUGAUCCAUCUGGAUUUUGACAAGCUCGCAUUCCUUCAAUAAUGGAUUUUUUAUCAACACGACUUAAAUCAUCACCAAGAAUUAAAAGGAAGGUUGAAAACCUGAACGUGGUCCAGCUCCAGUUAUUUGAAGCCUAUAGAUCCAGUUAAUUGCUUCUAAUUUUGUUUCUUCGCUAAGAUCAUUCAAGCAAUUUAAUAUAUCUAAUCCUGAUAUAGCAAAAAAUGCUACUGC
Apis mellifera (honey bee) is the source of this 713-nucleotide RNA transcript. RefSeq lists it as uncharacterized. The record is from RefSeq and is a predicted model, not a curated record. The transcript is spliced from 4 exons. NCBI's taxonomy places the organism in Eukaryota, Metazoa, Arthropoda, Insecta, Hymenoptera, Apidae.